AGUGAACGCUGGCGGCGUGCUUAACACAUGCAAGUCGAACGAGAACGGGUUAUAGCUUGCUAUAAUUGUCAGCUAAGUGGCGCACGGGUGAGUAAUGUAUAGGUAAUAUGCCUCUUACUAAGGGAUAACAAAUGGAAACGUUUGCUAAUACCUUAUACUCCUUAUUAACAUAAGUUAAUAAGGGAAAGAUUUAUUGGUAAGAGAUUAGCCUGUAUUGUAUCAGUUAGUUGGUGGGGUAAUGGCUUACCAAGACUAUGACACAUAACUGGUUUGAGAGGAUGAUCAGUCACACUGGAACUGAGACACGGUCCAGACUCCUACGGGAGGCAGCAGUGGGGAAUAUUGCACAAUGGACGAAAGUCUGAUGCAGCAACGCCGCGUGGAGGAUGACACAUUUCGGUGCGUAAACUCCUUUUUAUAUGAGAAGAUAAUGACGGUAUUAUAUGAAUAAGCACCGGCUAACUCCGUGCCAGCAGCCGCGGUAA
RNAcentral lists this ribosomal RNA (485 nucleotides) under uncultured bacterium. RNAcentral describes it as "bacterial SSU rRNA". It matches the Rfam family "Bacterial small subunit ribosomal RNA", at positions 29 to 523 of the family's 1533-position model. The record is from RNAcentral.